GAUGAACGCUGGCGGCGUGCCUAAUACAUGCAAGUCGAGCGAAUGGAUUGAGAGCUUGCUCUUAUGAAGUUAGCGGCGGACGGGUGAGUAACACGUGGGUAACCUGCCCAUAAGACUGGGAUAACUCCGGGAAACCGGGGCUAAUACCGGAUAACAUUUUGAACCGCAUGGUUCGAAAUUGAAAGGCGGCUUCUGCUGUCACUUAUGGAUGGACCCGCGUCGCAUUAGCUAGUUGGUGAGGUAACGGCUCACCAAGGCAACGAUGCGUAGCCGACCGGAGAGGGUGAUCGGCCACACUGGGACUGAGACACGGCCCAGACUCCUACGGGAGGCAGCAGUAGGGAAUCUUCCGCAAUGGACGAAAGUCUGACGGAGCAACGCCGCGUGAGUGAUGAAGGCUUUCGGGUCGUAAAACUCUGUUGUUAGGGAAGAACAAGUGCUAGUUGAAUAAGCUGGCACCUCGACGGUACCUAACCAGAAAGCCACGGCUAACUACGUGCCAGCAGCCGCAGUAA
RNAcentral lists this ribosomal RNA (515 nucleotides) under uncultured bacterium. RNAcentral's name for it is "partial 16S ribosomal RNA". It matches the Rfam family "Bacterial small subunit ribosomal RNA", at positions 28 to 523 of the family's 1533-position model. The record is from RNAcentral.